AGAGUUUGAUCCUGGCUCAGAACGAACGCUGGCGGCGUGCCUAACACAUGCAAGUCGAACGAGAAAUCGGGCACUCAGGCAACUGAGUGCCGGAGAGUAAAGUGGCGCACGGGUGAGUAAUACGUGGGUGACCUGCCCUGAAGAGAGGGAUAACCACUGGAAACGGUGGCUAAUACCUCAUGUGGUCGCAAGAAUUAGAGGUCUUGCGAGUAAAGCUCCGGCGCUUUGGGAGGGGCCCAUGGCCUACCAGCUAGUUGGUGGGGUAACGGCCUACCAAGGCUAUGACGGGUAGCUGGUCUGAGAGGACGGACAGCCACACUGGAACUGACACACGGUCCAGACUCCUACGGGAGGCAGC
This 358-nucleotide ribosomal RNA is filed under the name uncultured bacterium. Its description in RNAcentral is "bacterial SSU rRNA". It matches the Rfam family "Bacterial small subunit ribosomal RNA", at positions 8 to 352 of the family's 1533-position model. The record is from RNAcentral.